GACGAACGCUGGCGGCGUGCCUAAUACAUGCAAGUCGAGCGAAGUUUUUCUGGUGCUUGCACCGGAAAAACUUAGCGGCGAACGGGUGAGUAACACGUAAAGAACCUGCCUCAUAGACUGGGACAACUAUUGGAAACGAUAGCUAAUACCGGAUAACAGCAUUAACUGCAUGGUUGAUGUUUAAAAGUUGGUUUUGCUAACACUAUGAGAUGGCUUUGCGGUGCAUUAGCUAGUUGGUGGGGUAAAGGCCUACCAAGGCGACGAUGCAUAGCCGACCUGAGAGGGUGAUCGGCCACACUGGGACUGAGACACGGCCCAGACUCCUACGGGAGGCAGCAGUAGGGAAUCUUCCGCAAUGGGCGAAAGCCUGACGGAGCAACGCCGCGUGAGUGAAGAAGGAUUUCGGUUCGUAAAGCUCUGUUGUUAGGGAAGAAUGAUUGUGUAGUAACUAUACACAGUAGAGACGGUACCUAACCAGAAAGCCACGACUAACUACGUG
RNAcentral lists this ribosomal RNA (499 nucleotides) under uncultured bacterium. RNAcentral's name for it is "partial 16S ribosomal RNA". It matches the Rfam family "Bacterial small subunit ribosomal RNA", at positions 28 to 507 of the family's 1533-position model. The record is from RNAcentral.